Long non-coding RNA from Canis lupus familiaris (dog), 2690 nucleotides. RefSeq lists it as uncharacterized. Lineage: Eukaryota; Metazoa; Chordata; Mammalia; Carnivora; Canidae. The record is from RefSeq and is a predicted model, not a curated record. The transcript is spliced from 6 exons.
UGCAUGGUGGCAUGGCGCCGGCUGUUCCACUGCUGCUCCCCGGAACUCACUUCUGUCUCCUUUCUGAGGAGAUGGGCCGCAUUCCUAGGGCUGAUUUCUCAGGCAACUUCAGAUGGAAAAUUCUAGAAAGGAAGGAGGUUUCAUCUGGAUUUUUUAUUUUUGCCGCUUUCUCAGAAUCCCGAGUCCCUUCUGUGGUAUGAGUCCAUCUCCUGGCAGGAUUUUUUUAUGACUGAAAUAUGGCAUCCUCCUUUUUUUGGGUCAGUUCUUCACCCUCCGCUGUCCCAGAGCCUUCAAGACUUUCCUGGAUGGAUAUGGAGGGUACCAAGUAGAGCAAAGAGAUGUCCACGGAUUGCGAGGCAAGACCCGGGAAGAAAGAUGGCCCUGAUCUAGCAGGGUAAUCAGACCCUUCUGCACACAGAGAUUUCAACGCCUUUGCAGAGCACGUGCACAGCAAGGCCUGGAGGGAGGAUGGGCCUGGCUCCUGCUGGAGCUGAGACUGGAGGGCAGGAAGGCAAGGGCGCUGUUGCAGGGGCCCAGGAGCCAGAUCCUGGAGCUGCACCGGGAAGACGAGAGUGGAAGCCAUGAGAAGUGGAUGGAUUCAGGACACACGUGAAGACUGGACCCCUCAUAGCAUGAGUUACAAAGGGGAUCCUUCCCCUCCGGGAUCUAGUUAAGUAAGAGCCUGGACCUAUUGCUUCCAGAAUCCUUCAGCCCUCCAGAAGGCAGCAUGGAGGUGGGCACACCAGGUUCUGAGCCAAACUCUGCCACUUGCUUGCUCUGUGACCUUAGAGAGGUUGAGAAAACAGCAAAAUGCCCAGAGUCCAAAGGGCAGGCUGGUAGCCCCUGGCUGACUCUGAGGGCUCCCAGAAGGCAGAAAGGGAAACUGAGGCAGCAAGUGCCAGUCGGAGGCUGCUGAGAAGAAGGCGCCGGUAACAACAGCCCCCAGACAGGAGCCACGCUGUUCCCAGAUAUGAGGCUGACACCACUCCGCCAGACCCACCUGCAUGUCCCCUCAGUGCUGGUCCAGGAUGAGGGGCACCUGGGCGCUGUCCACUCGCGGAGGCAGCCGCUCGCCCGUGCGCACGUUGAACAUAGGCAGCGUGGAGAGGGGCCGGGGCACCUCGCGGCUGGAUGCCAUCUGCCGCAGCUCCUCUGUGUUCCCGCGGAUAGUGCAGUGGUGGACCAUCUGGAUGCUGGGGGCACGGGCCGGCACAGUCGUCAGUCCCGGGAGCCAACUCCGCUGAGGCUCGGCGCGGCACUGCCUCUGAGCCACCCUGCAGUCCCUCCCCACCUGGUAUGUAGGGGAAACUCACACACAUGACGGGUGAGGGGAAGACAAACAAGGAAGGUCUUUGGUGCCAGCUCAGUGUCCAGUGAGGAGGCAUAGGCUGUGGGCACAGCCAGCCUGGAUUCCAAGCUGUGUGUCCCUGGCAAGUUGCUGAACCACUCUGUGCCUCAGUGUCCUCAACUGUAAGAUGGACAUAAUGCUAGAAUCUGCCUCCUAGCACUGUGGUGGGAAUUAAAUGAGAAAAAUGUUUAGAGAAGUGCCUGGUGCCUGCUAAGAACUCCUGAGGUGCCAGCCAUGAAUAGGUACCCGCAGUGGAUUGCUAUUUCCAGAGGCCGGCGUUUGCUGGGGUUUAUAUUCCGAUCACCUUCCCGGUCCCUUCCAGCAUUCAGCUCCCUCCCCAAAUACUCUCUCCUACCAUUGACCAUCCAGUCUUCCCCGCCUCAUCCCUCUUAGUCUGGCAAACUUCCCCCUCCAUCUCUUCCCACCUCCUCCUCUGGCUCCCGGGCUGUUUCCUGCCAGGCCUCCGUGGUCUCAUCUUCUGGCUCCUCCCAUCUAGCCUCCCUGGCCUUUGUACCCGGCCCUCUCCCACCCCUCCCCAGCCUGCCCCCCACCACUGACUAGCUCUGGACACCAAGUCUUUGCUCUCUGGCUUUAUUCCAGAUCAAAACUCCAUGAGGCCGACCCCGGGAUCUGCCCUCAGUGGGCCUGAAAUCCCUGUGGCCGUCAGAAAGCCCUUUCUGAGCUCUCAUGUCAGAAAGGAGACUUGCUUCUGUCUUCUCAGAAAGCUCAGCCUCAUUCUCAUUUGAGAUCCUGAGGAGCUUGCCUUCUGCUGCCUGGGGCAAGCUUCUGUUCAUUCUGAGAAGUAGGGUAGCACGGUGUAACCCAACAUCAGCACUUGCUUUGAAUAUACAUGUGAGUCCUGCUACUUACUGGCUGUGUGAUUUUAUGCAAGUCACUUAACUUCUCUGUGCCACUAUUUCCUCCAUCGUAAUGCAGUUUUUGUACAUAUUAAAUGAGUUAAUACAGGAAAAAACACUCCUGGUCAGCAUCAUAGCAAGUGGUAGCUAAUAUUAUAGGAAGGCCAACGUUGCUAUAAUCAUCAUCAGCGUUAUUUUAUUAUAGUAGGCCCACUGAUGUGCUUGACCUCUAGUAAAGGGAUGUUUCCAAGCCCCUUUACAUGAAUCCACCCACAUUUGUGGGUCCAGCCUGGAGAUAUUUUCCUAGAUUACCUGGUUGCCAGGUGAGAGAUAGCAGGGACUCUUCAUCACAAACAAUAAGAAUUAGUUUUCCUUGGGGCACCUGGGUGGUUCAGUCAGUAGAGCAUCCCAAUCUUGAUUUUGGGUCAGAUCAUUAUCUCAGGGUCUUGAGACUGAGCCCAAGUCAGGCUCCCGCUCGGCCAGGA